This 253-nucleotide ribosomal RNA is filed under the name uncultured bacterium. RNAcentral describes it as "partial 16S ribosomal RNA". It matches the Rfam family "Bacterial small subunit ribosomal RNA", at positions 524 to 776 of the family's 1533-position model. The record is from RNAcentral.
UACGUAGGGGGCAAGCGUUAUCCGGAUUUACUGGGUGUAAAGGGAGCGUAGACGGUUUUGCAAGCCAGAUGUGAAAGCCCGGGGCUCAACCCCGGGACUGCAUUUGGAACUGUGUGGCUAGAGUGUCGGAGAGGCAGGCGGAAUUCCUAGUGUAGCGGUGAAAUGCGUAGAUAUUAGGAGGAACACCAGUGGCGAAGGCGGCCUGCUGGACGAUGACUGACGUUGAGGCUCGAAAGCGUGGGGAGCAAACAGG